This 699-nucleotide ribosomal RNA is filed under the name uncultured bacterium. Its description in RNAcentral is "bacterial SSU rRNA". It matches the Rfam family "Bacterial small subunit ribosomal RNA", at positions 8 to 703 of the family's 1533-position model. The record is from RNAcentral.
AGAGUUUGAUCCUGGCUCAGGAUGAACGCUAGCGGGAGGCUUAAUACAUGCAAGUCGUACGGUAACAGCAGAGCUUGCUCUGGCUGACGAGUGGCGCACGGGUGAGUAACGCGUACACAACCUACCUCUAAGAGGGGGACAGCCUUGGGAAACUAAGAUUAAUACCCCAUAGUAUUGACAAUUUGAUUGAUAGUCAAUUAAAGCUCCGGCGCUUAGAGAUGGGUGUGCGUCCCAUUAGCUAGUUGGUGAGGUAACGGCUCACCAAGGCGACGAUGGGUAGGGGGCGUGAGAGCGUGAUCCCCCACACGGGUACUGAGACACGGACCCGACUCCUACGGGAGGCAGCAGUAAGGAAUAUUGGACAAUGGGCGAAAGCCUGAUCCAGCCAUCCCGCGUGCAGGAUGAAGGCCCUAUGGGUUGUAAACUGCUUUUAUCAGGGAAGAAACCCCUCGAUUCAUCGAGGGCUGACGGUACCUGAAGAAUAAGCACCGGCUAACUCCGUGCCAGCAGCCGCGGUAAUACGGAGGGUGCAAGCGUUAUCCGGAAUCACUGGGUUUAAAGGGUGCGUAGGCGGCGUCGUAAGUCAGAAGUGAAAGCUUACAGCUUAACUGUAAAAUUGCUUUUGAUACUGCGAUGCUUGAAUUAGGUUGAGGUUAGCGGAAUGUGACAUGUAGCGGUGAAAUGCAUAGAUAUGUCAUA